This 394-nucleotide ribosomal RNA is filed under the name uncultured bacterium. RNAcentral's name for it is "bacterial SSU rRNA". It matches the Rfam family "Bacterial small subunit ribosomal RNA", at positions 28 to 431 of the family's 1533-position model. The record is from RNAcentral.
GACGAACGCUGGCGGCGUGCUUAACACAUGCAAGUCGAACGAUGAACCAUUUCGGUGGGGAUUAGUGGCGAACGGGUGAGUAACACGUGGGCAAUCUGCCCUGCACUCUGGGACAAGCCCUGGAAACGGGGUCUAAUACCGGAUACCACCAUCGCAGGCAUCUGUGGUGGUUGAAAGCUCCGGCGGUGCAGGAUGAGCCCGCGGCCUAUCAGCUUGUUGGUGAGGAGAAGCUCACCAAGGCGACGACGGGUAGCCGGCCUGAGAGGGCGACCGGCCACACUGGGACUGAGACACGGCCCAGACUCCUACGGGAGGCAGCAGUGGGGAAUAUUGCACAAUGGGCGAAAGCCUGAUGCAGCGACGCCGCGUGAGGGAUGACGGCCUGGUGUAACGU